GAAUUUGAGUACAUACGUGGCCACUGAAAGACAGAGACACGUGUAGCACCAUGAUCUUCUUUUAAAUACAGAAGCAUCGCACACUGGUUCACAACCAUAUUCUGUUUCUCUUCAGAGUCAUCUUCUCAGACUGACGGUUGCUCAAAUUCAAUCCUUCAAAGAAGAAGCAGGUGAAGAUGGGUUUUGAGCUGGUUAUAUCUCUACCGGUGAUAUUGUUCAUCAUAAUUGUGGCUCUUGCAUGUUACCUUCUGGGUAGACAGAGAGGCAGAGGUUAAGCCAAAUGAGCUCGGCAGCUUUCUGGGCCUCCUGCUUCUACUCAAAUCCAGCUACCGCCACCAGCAACAGCUCCUGAUCAGGGCAAACCCUCGCAGUCACACACUCAGGUUUAGAAUUGUACAAGCUACGGAUGGCUAUGUUUUUAAACAUUUCAUUGCAUCAUACGUUAUUAAAUUAUUCCACCCAAUAAAAAAGAAUCAACUUUAGCUUGUAAAUUCCUGAUAAAUAAUGGCUUGCCAGUUUCAAUUUAA
Mangifera indica (mango) is the source of this 527-nucleotide long non-coding RNA. RefSeq lists it as uncharacterized. The record is from RefSeq and is a predicted model, not a curated record. The transcript is spliced from 2 exons. NCBI's taxonomy places the organism in Eukaryota, Viridiplantae, Streptophyta, Magnoliopsida, Sapindales, Anacardiaceae.